This 175-nucleotide ribosomal RNA is filed under the name uncultured bacterium. Its description in RNAcentral is "partial 16S ribosomal RNA". It matches the Rfam family "Bacterial small subunit ribosomal RNA", at positions 1318 to 1500 of the family's 1533-position model. The record is from RNAcentral.
CCGUGAAGCUGGAUUCGCUAGUAAUCGCGCAUCAGCCAUGGCGCGGUGAAUACGUUCCCGGGCCUUGUACACACCGCCCGUCAAGCCAUGGGAGCCGGGAGCGCUUGAAGUGCGUCGCCGCGAGGCGCGCCCUAGAGCGAGACCGGUGACUGGGGCUAAGUCGUAACAAGGUAUC